Molecule: long non-coding RNA, 499 nt
Filed under: Sorghum bicolor (sorghum)
Lineage: Eukaryota; Viridiplantae; Streptophyta; Magnoliopsida; Poales; Poaceae
Description: long non-coding RNA (SBIC_LNC002318)
Source: RNAcentral
CAGUGGCACCGAGAACCCCGAAUCCAUCCCACGGAUAAGAUAUGCCAGGUGGCGUGAGGCCAGUGGCGGGAAUCGCCCGUGGCGCCCUGCCGCGCCGGCUGGGGAUAAUCCGGGGCAUGCAAUUUGAGGCCAUUACACCACCGGGCCUUUGGCUCGUACUACACCACCUCACCCUCACUCUCUCUUCCCCGGCCAUCCGCGCCAGACGAACUCAGCACCCGCGCGCAGCAAGGAGAGUCCACACGCCCAUGGCCAGCACCAACAUGGCGUCGGCCACCUCGCGGUUCAUGCUGGCCGCUGGCGUGCCCACCGCCGGCAGCGGCAGCGGCAGCAGCGGCCGCGUCAGCUUCGCGCCGGCGCCCAACCAGCUGGGCAGGAGGCUCGUGGUCCGGGCUGACCCGGAAGCUCCGGCUGAACCGGCGGAAGGGGAGGGCGCCGUGGCCACCAAGCCCAAGGCCGAGAAGCCGCCGCCGAUCGGGCCCAAGAGGGGCACCAAGGU